GACUUCUCGGUUGCGGCUAUAGAUUGCUCCUCGAGCGGACAGAUGGGAGCUUGCUCCCUGAAUAGUUAGCGGCGGAGGGUGAGUAACACGUGGGUAACCUGCCUGUAAGACUGGGAUAACUCCGGGAAACCGGGGCUAAUACCGGAUGGUUGUUUGAACCGCAGGUUCAGACAUAAAAGGUGGCUUCGGCUACCACUUACAGAUGGACCCGCGGCGCAUAGCUAGUUGGUGAGGUAACGGCUCACCAAGGCGACGAUGCGUAGCCGACCUGAGAGGGUGAUCGGCCACACUGGGACUGAGACACGGCCCAGACUCCUACGGGAGGCAGCAGUAGGGAAUCUUCCGCAAUGGACGAAAGUCUGACGGAGCAACGCCGCGUGAGUGAUGAAGGUUUUCGGAUCGUAAAGCUCUGUUGUUAGGGAAGAACAAGUGCCGUUCAAAUAGGGCGGCACCUUGACGGUACCUAACCAGAAAGCCACGGCUAACUACGUGCCAGCAGCCGCGGUAAUACGUAGGUGGCAAGCGUUGUCCGGAAUUAUUGGGCGUAAAGGGCUCGCAGGCGGUUUCUUAAGUCUGAUGUGAAAGCCCCCGGCUCAACCGGGGAGGGUCAUUGGAAACUGGGGAACUUGAGUGCAGAAGAGGAGAGUGGAAUUCCACGUGUAGCGGUGAAAUGCGUAGAGAUGUGGAGGAACACCAGUGGCGAAGGCGACUCUCUGGUCUGUAACUGACGCUGAGGAGCGAAAGCGUGGGGAGCGAACAGGAUUAGAUACCCUGGUAGUCCACGCCGUAAACGAUGAGUGCUAAGUGUUAGGGGGUUUCCGCCCCUUAGUGCUGCAGCUAACGCAUUAAGCACUCCGCCUGGGGAGUACGGUCGCAAGACUGAAACUCAAGGAAUUGACGGGGCCCGCACAAGCGGUGGAGCAUGUGGUUUAAUUCGAAGCAACGCGAGAACCUUACCAGGUCUGACAUCCUCUGACAUUCUAGAGAUAGGACGUCCCUU
Molecule: ribosomal RNA, 1000 nt
Filed under: Bacillus amyloliquefaciens
Lineage: Bacteria; Bacillati; Bacillota; Bacilli; Caryophanales; Bacillaceae
Description: bacterial SSU rRNA
Rfam family: Bacterial small subunit ribosomal RNA
Source: RNAcentral